AUACGGAGGAUCCGAGCGUUAUCCGGAUUUAUUGGGUUUAAAGGGUGCGCAGGCGGCCAUUUAAGGCAGCGGUUAAAUCGUGGGGCUCAACCCCAUUCUGCCGUUGAUACUGGGUGGCUUGAUUGCGGUCGAGGUUGGCGGAAUUCGUUGUGUAGCGGUGAAAUGCAUAGAUAUGACGAAGAACACCGAUUGCGUAGGCAGCUGACCAGACCGCAAAUGACGCUCAUGCACGAAAGUGCGGGGAUCGAACAGGAUUAGAUACCCUGGUAGUCCGCACAGUAAACGAUGAAUACUUGUUUUCGGCGAUAUAAUGUCGGAGGCAAAGCGAAAGCGAUAAGUAUUCCACCUGGGGAGUACGCCGGCAACGGUGAAACUCAAAGGAAUUGACGGGG
RNAcentral lists this ribosomal RNA (392 nucleotides) under uncultured bacterium. RNAcentral's name for it is "partial 16S ribosomal RNA". It matches the Rfam family "Bacterial small subunit ribosomal RNA", at positions 523 to 918 of the family's 1533-position model. The record is from RNAcentral.